AAGAAGAUGGUCAAGAAUAGCCCAAACCCAAGAAAUUAUUAUCGGUGCUCGGUUGAAGGCUGCCAUGUCAAGAAGAGAAUAGAAAGAGAUCGAGAGGAUCAAAGCUAUGUAAUAACAACCUAUGAGGGUGUCCACAAUCACCCAAGUUCUUCUUAGGCUUCAAGCUUUACUGUUGCUUUCAGUUCAUUGAGUUUCUGGCUAGCAUUGCACAACCCCACUUAAUUGUAUCAUAUCAUUAAGAAAGUGAAAGUGGGGUUGUGNNNNNNNNAAUCUGAGUCUAAUGAACUGAAAAAAAAACUAUAAUGAAAUAUUAAUAAUAUUAUAUUUUU
RNAcentral lists this unclassified non-coding RNA (329 nucleotides) under Hevea brasiliensis (rubber tree). Lineage: Eukaryota; Viridiplantae; Streptophyta; Magnoliopsida; Malpighiales; Euphorbiaceae. The record is from RNAcentral.